CGGACGGGUGAGUAACGCGUGAGAAUCUGCCUUCAGGUUGGGGACAACAGCUGGAAACGGCUGCUAAUACCCAAUGUGCCGAGAGGUGAAAGCUUUAGUGCCUGAGGAUGAGCUCGCGUCUGAUUAGCUAGUUGGAGUGGUAAUGGCACACCAAGGCGACGAUCAGUAGCUGGUCUGAGAGGAUGAUCAGCCACACUGGGACUGAGACACGGCCCAGACUCCUACGGGAGGCAGCAGUGGGGAAUUUUCCGCAAUGGGCGCAAGCCUGACGGAGCAAUACCGCGUGAGGGAGGAAGGCUUUUGGGUUGUAAACCUCUUUUAUCAGGGAAGAAGAUCUGACGGUACCUGAUGAAUCAGCAUCGGCUAACUCCGUGUCAGCAGCCGCGGUAAUACGGAGGAUGCAAGCGUUAUCCGGAAUUAUUGGGCGUAAAGCGUCCGCAGGUGGUUAUCCAAGUCUGCUGUCAAAGCGUGGAGCUUAACUCCAUAUCGGCGGUGGAAACUGAUGAGCUAGAGUGCGAUAGGGGUAGCAGGAAUUCCCAGUGUAGCGGUGAAAUGCGUAGAGAUUGGGAAGAACACCAGCGGCGAAAGCGUGCUACUGGGUCUGCACUGACACUGAGGGACGAAAGCUAGGGGAGCGAAAAGGAUUAGAUACCCCAGUAGUC
Molecule: ribosomal RNA, 662 nt
Filed under: uncultured cyanobacterium
Lineage: Bacteria; Bacillati; Cyanobacteriota
Description: bacterial SSU rRNA
Rfam family: Bacterial small subunit ribosomal RNA
Source: RNAcentral